This 73-nucleotide transfer RNA is filed under the name Camelus dromedarius (Arabian camel). It matches the Rfam family "tRNA". From Rfam's summary of the family: Transfer RNA (tRNA) molecules are approximately 80 nucleotides in length. RNAcentral also lists the same sequence under 1 other name. Lineage: Eukaryota; Metazoa; Chordata; Mammalia; Artiodactyla; Camelidae. The record is from Rfam by way of RNAcentral.
GAGGGUAUAGCUCAGUAAUAGAGUGCAUGCUUUAGCAUGCAUGCAAUCCUGGGUUCAAUCCCCUGUACCUCCA